CAACGCCGCGUGAACGAUGAAGGCCUUUGGGUCGUAAAGUUCUGUUCUAGGUGAUGAAAACUGACAGUAACCUAGGAGAAAGCCCCGGCUAACUCCGUGC
Molecule: ribosomal RNA, 100 nt
Filed under: uncultured bacterium
Lineage: Bacteria
Description: partial 16S ribosomal RNA
Rfam family: Bacterial small subunit ribosomal RNA
Source: RNAcentral